Molecule: long non-coding RNA, 824 nt
Organism: Lutra lutra (Eurasian river otter)
Lineage: Eukaryota; Metazoa; Chordata; Mammalia; Carnivora; Mustelidae
Exons: 5
Source: RefSeq, a predicted model, not a curated record
UCUAUGAAAGAAAUACAGACAACAUAUGAGAAACUAGAGAAGAAUAAAAAGAAGUUGGAACAGGUAGUAACCUCAGAAGUUGUGUAGAAGUCAACGUGACACAAGUAGCAUUUCAAGAAAGCUUAGCACAGUUUUAAGAGAAAAUAAUAAGGCUUCAGUAAGAAGUCAAAUGGAACUCAGAAUUAAAGAGCUGGAAUUUGAAUUAUCCAAAAUGAAAAAUUCUCAAGAUCUUACUAAAACAGAAUUGGGCAGAUACAAGCACCUCUACCUAGAAGAAGUAACACAUCGAAUGUCAUUGACAAAUGAACUGAACAAGACUAGUGAGAGGCUGGCAGAGACCAGUACCAAACUUCUGGUGGAGAAGCAGCAGAAGCAAACUUUGCUUGACACUAUUAAUAUGAGGCCAGCCCUUGAUCUGCCUUAUGGUAGAAAUGUUAACUAUUCACUUAAACAGUUCACUAUUCAAUAGAAAUGUUGCUCUAAGAGAAAACGUGGUGAUUCGUACCUCAAACUCACGGCGUUCAAGUAAUGACUUCGAGACUUUCUUGACCAAGCUCUAGAAGGCCAUACCACAGUCUGGGGAGUCAUCAGUGCCAUCGCUGUCCAUCAAAGUCAGCUACUCUCAUCACCAGAUCAUCUCAGAAGAGCAGGAGAGGCCCUUACAGAGCAUCUGUUUGACUCAUGUUGACCCAUUAAGAGUACAGUACAAGACUCACAGCAUGGGAAUGUCUGCUGGAGAUCCCACUAAAGUGGAGACCUUGGCAAACACCAUUGGAAGAAAUAAGCAACCGGGGACUGCUGCUCUGAAGAUGAUUAAAUAUUAC